RNAcentral lists this long non-coding RNA (794 nucleotides) under Neodiprion lecontei (redheaded pine sawfly). Its description in RNAcentral is "uncharacterized LOC124294612". The record is from RNAcentral. Lineage: Eukaryota; Metazoa; Arthropoda; Insecta; Hymenoptera; Diprionidae.
GGGACCGAAGUCGAUGGGUUCAGUGGCAACAACAGCGUCGGCCUUGGGACGAAGACCUCGGUUCUCCGUGGACUCGGUAACGGCUCUAGACUCAGCGCGUGCCAACUCAGGGUCUCUAUAUCCUGGAUUAGAGUGUGAAAAGAGGCUUUGACAAAUUCUCUCAAUGUCCUGGAGUGAGAAUUCACUCCAAGGUGUGAACAAUCACUAAGCACGGCGAGAAGAAAAAAGCAGAUUUUACUCAAAACUAAAGGAAAGGAGGGACACAUCAGGUUUUGUUGAUACAACUAAGGCUUAAGGGUGUGAAUUACCAGAAGCACCAACCUGCUCCUGAGAGUUUGCCCUAAGGUCGAGGACAAGGGUGGUACGCUCGCGGGGAUGAACCGCGGGGGGAUCAGGCGAGGUAACGCAGAGUGCUGGACCACUGGCGAGAGUCGGUGUCGGAGUCAACGGCCGGGAAUCGGUCUCGGCGUAGUGCCGGAAGAGUUCUUCGGGGACGGCCGUCGCAUCGGGUGCCGCAUGAUCGGCAAUACCACGCGAGAUGCGGCGGUUUCCGCUUUGCGAUCGACCUCCGGCCAGCAGAGUAGCUCGGAUGAGUUCCAUCUCCGCGGGGAGAAGCAGUGCCUUGCCCUCUGUAGCCUGACGAAGAGAUGACGCAAUCCUUCGCACGGCGCACGACAUCCUUGGCCUCCCCGUCCGCAGGAUGAUUGCACAGUACAGAACAUCCGUAGGGAUACGGAUUGAACAGACCCGAGAAUGGCCGAAGAACGAACGGAGCCGGUUUCGUGCAUCCAGAG